Long non-coding RNA from Cyanistes caeruleus (blue tit), 2056 nucleotides. The record is from Ensembl. NCBI's taxonomy places the organism in Eukaryota, Metazoa, Chordata, Aves, Passeriformes, Paridae.
AUGCCGGGGUCGCGGUUCCGGUGGUUCCUCCCCAAAAUCCACCCAAAAUCCACCCAAAAUCCACCCAAAUCACCCAAAUCACCCAAAAUCACCCAAAAUCACCCAAAAUUCACCCAAAAUCACCCAAAAUCCACCAAAAUCACCCAAAAUCCACCCGAAAUUCCCGGAAUUCCCGGCGCUCACCGAUGCCGGGGUCGCGGUUCCGGUGAUUCCUCCCCAAAAAUCCCUCAAGAACCUCCCAAAAUCACCCAAAAUCACCCAAAAUCACCCAAAAUCACCCAAAAUUUCCCAAAAUCCCCCAAAUUCCACCCGGAAUUCCCGGAAUUCCCGGCGCUCACCGAUGCCGGGGUCGCGGUUCCGGUAAUUCUCGCCGAAGGACACGAGGCCGAUGGCCAAAGUCUGGAGGAACGGCCGGAGGGACGGAACGAACUGAGGAGAAACGGGGACAGAGGGGUCACCGGUGGUCACCUGUGGUCAGUGGUGGUCACUUGUGGUCACUUGUGGUCAUCAGGGGUCAGUGGUGGUCACUUGUGGUCACUUGUGGUCAUCAGGGGUCAUUGGUGGUCAGUGGUGGUCACUGGUGGUCACCUGUGGUCAUCAGGGGUCACUGGUGGUCACUUGUGGUCACUGGUGGUCACUUGUGGUCAGUGGUGGACAGUGGUGGUCAGCAGGGGUCCGUGGUGGUCAUCAGGGGUCAUUGGUGGUCAAUGGUGGUCAGUGGUGGUCACUUGUGGUCAUCAGGGGUCAUUGGUGGUCAAUGGUGGUCACUUGUGGUCAUCAGGGGUCAUUGGUGGUCACUGGUGGUCACUGGUGGGGUCACUGGUGGUCACUUGUGGUCAUCAGGGGUCAGUGGUGGUCAGUGGUGGUCACUUGUGGUCAUCAGGGGUCAGUGGUGGUCACUUGUGGUCAUCAGGGGUCAGUGGUGGUCAGUGGUGGUCAUCAGGGGUCAGUGGUGGUCAACCCAACACCAACCCAACGGUGAACACCAACCCAAUGGUCAAGCCAAGACCGAUGGUCAAGCCAAGACCCACCCAGUGGUCAACACCAGUCCAAUGACCAAGACCAAUCAAUGGCCAAGACCAAUCAAUGGCCAAGACCAAUCAAUGGUCAACACCAACCCAAUGGUGAAGACCAAUCAAUGGUCAACACCAACCCAAUGGUCAAGCCAAGACUGAUGGUCAACACCAACCCAAUGGUCAAGCCAAGACCAACCCAGUCGUCAACACCAGUCCAAUGGCCAAGACCAAUCAAUGACCAAGACCAACCCAGUGGUCAAGACCAACCCAAUGGUCAACACCAACCCAAUGGUCAAUCCAAGACUGAUGGUCAACACCAACCCAAUGGUCAACACCAAUCAAUGGUCAACACCAACCCAAUGGUGAAGACCAAUCAAUGGUCAACACCAACCCAAUGGUCAAGCCAAGACUGAUGGUCAACACCAACCCAAUGGUCAAGCCAAGACCAACCCAGUCGUCAACACCAGUCCAAUGGCCAAGACCAAUCAAUGACCAAGACCAACCCAGUGGUCAAGACCAACCCAAUGGUCAACACCAACCCAAUGGUCAAUCCAAGACUGAUGGUCAACACCAACCCAAUGGUCAACACCAACCUAACGGUGAAGACCAAUCAAUGGUCAAACCAAGGCCAAUGGUCAAUCCAAGACUGAUGGUCAACACCAACCCAAUGGUCAACACCAGCCCAAUGGCCAAGACCAAUCAAUGACCAAGACCAACCCAGUGGUCAAGACCAACCCAAUGGUCAACACCAACCCAAUGGUCAAGCCAAGACUGAUGGUCAACACCAACCCAAUGGUCAAGCCAAGACUGAUGGUCAACACCAACCCAAUGGUGAAGACCAAUCAAUGGUCAACACCAACCCAAUGGUCAAGCCAAGACUGAUGGUCAACACCAACCCAAUGGUGAAGACCAAUCAAUGGUCAACACCAACCCAAUGGUCAACACCAACCCAAUGGUGAAGACCAAUCAAUGGCCAAGCCAAGACCAACCCAGUGGUCAACACCAGUCCAAUGACCAAGACCAAUCAAUGGCCAAGACCA